CUGCUUCCUCCUCUAUGGUUCUCCUCAUUGUAGAAGUUAAAGGACAUGUUUUAGGAUGUCAAUUCACCAGCAGUCUUACACGUCUGUGUUUUCUAUUAUAGUUGUCUUGUUAACAAUUAGCAUGAUUUCUCACUAGUGUUUGUAAGUUGCUCUGGUGGUUAUUACAAUAUGAUUUAAAUUCUGGGAACACUAUUCCUCUUUUUCAUUUUACAUGAGCAGUUUGGCGCUUGAUAUCAUUCAAAGUUGGUCUAGCUGUCUGUUUUAGGAUGUCCUAUGUUGGCUAAACUUGGUCCUUCCAUUCCGUGUAGGGAUGGCAAUGGGGCGGGGCG
Molecule: long non-coding RNA, 329 nt
Filed under: Solanum tuberosum (potato)
Lineage: Eukaryota; Viridiplantae; Streptophyta; Magnoliopsida; Solanales; Solanaceae
Description: long non-coding RNA (STUB_LNC002414)
Source: RNAcentral